Molecule: long non-coding RNA, 225 nt
Filed under: Trifolium pratense (red clover)
Lineage: Eukaryota; Viridiplantae; Streptophyta; Magnoliopsida; Fabales; Fabaceae
Description: long non-coding RNA (TPRA_LNC010624)
Source: RNAcentral
CCACCAACGAGUGGAGCCGUUCCGAUAUAGAGUCCCACAACCCUUGCUUAGCCCCAUCAUCACAAGGCGCAUAAACAUUUGCCACAAGAAACUCUUCCCCUGUCUUGGAAAACCGGCCAUGGCACCACAGAACAUGCUCACGACUUUCUGUUGACCACACCUCCACCUCAGAAGAGUCCCACAACGUUAGUAGUCCCCCUGAUGCCCCAACCGAAGGGCGAUAAG